RNAcentral lists this ribosomal RNA (817 nucleotides) under Mammaliicoccus lentus. RNAcentral describes it as "bacterial SSU rRNA". It matches the Rfam family "Bacterial small subunit ribosomal RNA", at positions 62 to 855 of the family's 1533-position model. The record is from RNAcentral. Lineage: Bacteria; Bacillati; Bacillota; Bacilli; Caryophanales; Staphylococcaceae.
UCGAGCGAACAGAUGAGAAGCUUGCUUCUCUGAUGUUAGCGGCGGACGGGUGAGUAACACGUGGGUAACCUACCUAUAAGACUGGGAUAACUCCGGGAAACCGGGGCUAAUACCGGAUAAUAUAUUGAACCGCAUGGUUCAAUGUUGAAAGACGGUUUCGGCUGUCACUUAUAGAUGGACCCGCGCCGUAUUAGCUAGUUGGUAAGGUAACGGCUUACCAAGGCAACGAUACGUAGCCGACCUGAGAGGGUGAUCGGCCACACUGGAACUGAGACACGGUCCAGACUCCUACGGGAGGCAGCAGUAGGGAAUCUUCCGCAAUGGGCGAAAGCCUGACGGAGCAACGCCGCGUGAGUGAUGAAGGUCUUAGGAUCGUAAAACUCUGUUGUUAGGGAAGAACAAAUUUGUUAGUAACUGAACAAGUCUUGACGGUACCUAACCAGAAAGCCACGGCUAACUACGUGCCAGCAGCCGCGGUAAUACGUAGGUGGCAAGCGUUAUCCGGAAUUAUUGGGCGUAAAGCGCGCGUAGGCGGUUUCUUAAGUCUGAUGUGAAAGCCCACGGCUCAACCGUGGAGGGUCAUUGGAAACUGGGGAACUUGAGUGCAGAAGAGGAGAGUGGAAUUCCAUGUGUAGCGGUGAAAUGCGCAGAGAUAUGGGAGGAACACCAGUGGGCGAAGGCGGCUCUCUGGUCUGUAACUGACGCUGAUGUGCGAAAGCGUGGGGAUCAAACAGGAUUAGAUACCCUGGUAGUCCCCCGCCAUAAACAAUGAGUGCUAAGUGUUGGGGGGGGUUCCCCCCCCUUAUUGUGCUGCCUA